AUAAGCAAAAUAAGGGCGUAUGGGGAAUGCCUAGGCUCUCAGAGGCGAAGAAGGACGUGAUAAGCUGCGAAAAGCUACGGGGAUUGGCACACACGAAUUGAUCCGUAGAUAUCCGAAUGGGGCAACCCAGUAUGUUGAAGACAUAUUAUCCUAAUAGGAGGCGAACCCGCUGAACUGAAACAUCUAAGUAGGCGGAGGAGAAGAAAACAAAAGUGAUUCCGUAAGUAGUGGCGAGCGAACGCGGAAAAGCCCAAACCAAAGUUGUUACGGCAAUUUUGGGGUUGUAGGACCACGAGAUUUCUUGCGGAUUUAAUUAGAAUUACCUGGAAAGGUAAACCAAAGAGGGUGAUAGUCCCGUAUAAGUAAGAGAAGAUAAGAAUAGUGGUAUCCUGAGUAGGUCGGGGCACGUGAAACCUUGAUUGAAACUGGCGGGACCAUCCGCUAAGGCUAAAUACUCCUGAGAGACCGAUAGUGAACCAGUACCGUGAGGGAAAGGUGAAAAGAACCGUGAAUAACGGAGUGAAACAGAUCCUGAAACCAUACGCCUACAAGCGGUCGGAGCCCUUUUGUGGGGUGACGGCGUGCCUUUUGCAUAAUGAGCCUACGAGUUACCGUUGCUGGCAAGGAUAAGUGAUUAAGUCAUGG
This 645-nucleotide ribosomal RNA is filed under the name Myroides odoratimimus. RNAcentral's name for it is "partial 23S ribosomal RNA". It matches the Rfam family "Bacterial large subunit ribosomal RNA", at positions 1 to 663 of the family's 2925-position model. Lineage: Bacteria; Pseudomonadati; Bacteroidota; Flavobacteriia; Flavobacteriales; Flavobacteriaceae. The record is from RNAcentral.